GGAGAGGAACAAAUCAGUUCAGUACCGCUCAUGAGCUUUAUGGACCCUUGACUAUGGGGAACAGAAACUGAUUUAUUAUGCUUACCCCAUUGCCUAAACAUAUUCCUGUUUGUUCUCCAUGUGUUUGGUGUUGAUACAGAAGAAGUGAAGACAAUAUCAGUGAUGAAGGGAGAUUCGGUCACUCUACACACUGAUGUUACUGAAGUACAGAAAUAUUUGUUCAUACAGUGGAUGUUUGGAAACACUCGAAUAGCUGAAGUCACACAAACCAGCUCAACAUAUGAUGGUCCUGAUGGGAAAUUCAGAGGCAGACAGCUGGAUCAGACUGGAUCUCUGAACAUCACAAACCCCAGAACCACAGACUCUGGACUUUAUUAACUAAACAUUUUGAGCCAAGAGACCAGCUAGCUACACGAGUUUCAAUCUUACAGUCUAUGAUGUGGCACAUGAAAUGAAGUCAGUGUCAGUGAUGAAGGGAGAUUCUGUCACUCUACACACUGAUGUUACUGAAACAGAAAUAUUUGUUGGUACGGUGGAUGUUUGAAAGCACUCGAAUAGCUGAAGUCAACAGACUCAUGCAGACUAGCUCUAAAUAUGAUGGGAGAUUCAAAGACAGACUGCAGCUGGAUCAAACCGGAUCUCUAAUCAUCACAAGCACCAGAACCACAGACUCUGGACUUUAUCAACUAACAAUUGUCAGCAGAGAGACCAGCUACAUGAAUUAUAAUGUUACUGUCUAUGAUCGUCAAGCUCAAAUUGUGUGUCGUCCAGCUGUGCAGCUGUGCAGUGAGCCGUUCAGACUGAAGAUACCAGCAUUGCUGAACUCUAUCAGCCGAGUUUAGGUACGUCACGCCAUCAUAUAAGUGUUUGUCUACAGAACAUAACGCUCUUGUAUGUGUUCAGGCAUGUCAGUAUGAUACUAGCUUUUGUGAAAGCACAGAAGCUAAAACCCACUGUUAAGGCCUGUUCACACCUAGAUCGAUAGAAUUGUUCUGAAUUUAAGUGAACAGCAGAGUCCACACCACAACUAUGACCAUAAUGGCAUCAAGAAACAAUAUCACUGGAAUCACUUUCAGAACCUUUUUUUUUUCCAGCUGAUGAAUGAUUAAAAACACUGACAGCCAAUCACAAUCCAUCCACCCGUAAAGAGCUCAAGCAUUAAAAGUGACAGAAUAAAUAACCAUAAUGGCAUCGAGAAACA
Molecule: long non-coding RNA, 1201 nt
Organism: Cyprinus carpio (common carp)
Lineage: Eukaryota; Metazoa; Chordata; Actinopteri; Cypriniformes; Cyprinidae
Source: Ensembl